Molecule: transfer RNA, 76 nt
Filed under: Caudoviricetes sp.
Lineage: Duplodnaviria; Heunggongvirae; Uroviricota; Caudoviricetes
Description: tRNA-Asn
Rfam family: tRNA
About the family: Transfer RNA (tRNA) molecules are approximately 80 nucleotides in length. Their secondary structure includes four short double-helical elements and three loops (D, anti-codon, and T loops). Further hydrogen bonds mediate the characteristic L-shaped molecular structure. tRNAs have two regions of fundamental functional importance: the anti-codon, which is responsible for specific mRNA codon recognition, and the 3' end, to which the tRNAs corresponding amino acid is attached (by aminoacyl-tRNA synthetases). tRNAs cope with the degeneracy of the genetic code in two manners: having more than one tRNA (with a specific anti-codon) for a particular amino acid; and 'wobble' base-pairing, i.e. permitting non-standard base-pairing at the 3rd anti-codon position.
Source: RNAcentral
GGGAUAUUAGCUCAGUUGGUAGAGCAAGUGACUGUUAAUCACUGGGUCGUUGGUUCGAAUCCAUCAUAUCCCGCCA